CAGCGGUAAUUCCAGCUCCAAUAGCGUAUAUUAAAGUUGUUGCAGUUAAAAAGCUCGUAGUUGAAUUUCGGGAUCAAUGUUUCGGUCAUGCCGUUGGUAUGUACUGAUAUUAUUGAUUUCUCACCUUCUAAAGAACCGUAAUGCCAUUAAUUUGGUGUCACGGGGAAUUAGGACUGUUACCUUGAAAAAAUUAGAGUGUUUAAAGCAGGCUCACGCUUGAAUACAUUAGCAUGGAAUAAUGAAAUAGGACAUCCGAUUCUAUUUUGUUGGUUUCUAGGAUCGAUGUAAUGAUUAAUAGGGAUAGUUGGGGGCAUUAGUAUUCAAUUGUCAGAGGUGAAAUUCUUGGAUUUAUUGAAGACUAACUACUGCGAAAGCAUUUGCCAAGGAUGUUUUCAUUAAUCAAGAACGAAAGUUAGGGGAUCGAAGACGAUCAGAUACCGUCGUAGUCUUAACCAUAAACUAUGCCGACUAGGGAUCGGAUGAUGUUAAUUUUUUAAUGACUCAUUCGGCGCCUUACG
This 518-nucleotide unclassified non-coding RNA is filed under the name uncultured Glomeromycotina. RNAcentral describes it as "SSU rRNA". It matches the Rfam family "Eukaryotic small subunit ribosomal RNA", at positions 574 to 1092 of the family's 1831-position model. The record is from RNAcentral. Lineage: Eukaryota; Fungi; Glomeromycota.